Molecule: ribosomal RNA, 497 nt
Filed under: uncultured bacterium
Lineage: Bacteria
Description: partial 16S ribosomal RNA
Rfam family: Bacterial small subunit ribosomal RNA
Source: RNAcentral
GAUGAACGCUGGCGGCGUGCCUAAUACAUGCAAGUCGAGCGAACGGACGAGAAGCUUGCUUCUCUGAUGUUAGCGGCGGACGGGUGAGUAACACGUGGAUAACCUACCUAUAAGACUGGGAUCACUUCGGGAAACCGGAGUUAACACCGGAUAAUAUUUUGAACCGCAUGGUUCAAAAGUGAAAGACGGUCUUGCUGUCACUUAUAGAUGGAUCCGCGCUGCAUUAGCUAGUUGGUAAGGUAACGGCUUACCAAGGCAACGAUGCAUAGCCGACCUGAGAGGGUGGUCGGCCACACUAGAACUGAGACACGGUCCAGGCGCCUACGGGAGGCAGCAGUAGAGAAUCGGCCGCAAUGGGCGAAAGCCUGACGGAGCAACGCCGCGUGAGAGAUGAAGGUCUUCGGAUCGUAAAACUCUGUUAUUAGUGAAGAACAUAUGUGUAAGUAACUGUGCACAUCGUGACGGUACCUAAUCAGAAAGCCACGGCUAACUACGUG